GGUAAGGUGGCUGAGUAGGCGGUAGACUGUAAAUCUAUUUACGAGAGGUAAUCUCCCUUACCA
Molecule: transfer RNA, 63 nt
Filed under: Varanus gilleni
Lineage: Eukaryota; Metazoa; Chordata; Lepidosauria; Squamata; Varanidae
Description: tRNA-Tyr
Rfam family: tRNA
About the family: Transfer RNA (tRNA) molecules are approximately 80 nucleotides in length. Their secondary structure includes four short double-helical elements and three loops (D, anti-codon, and T loops).
Source: RNAcentral